GGGGCGGUAGCUCAGCUGGGAGAGCACCUGCCUUGCACGCAGGGGGUCGAGGGUUCGAAUCCCUUCCGCUCCA
Molecule: transfer RNA, 73 nt
Filed under: Gemmatimonadota bacterium
Lineage: Bacteria; Pseudomonadati; Gemmatimonadota
Also listed under: 1 other name
Description: Gemmatimonadetes bacterium tRNA-Ala
Rfam family: tRNA
About the family: Transfer RNA (tRNA) molecules are approximately 80 nucleotides in length. Their secondary structure includes four short double-helical elements and three loops (D, anti-codon, and T loops). Further hydrogen bonds mediate the characteristic L-shaped molecular structure. tRNAs have two regions of fundamental functional importance: the anti-codon, which is responsible for specific mRNA codon recognition, and the 3' end, to which the tRNAs corresponding amino acid is attached (by aminoacyl-tRNA synthetases). tRNAs cope with the degeneracy of the genetic code in two manners: having more than one tRNA (with a specific anti-codon) for a particular amino acid; and 'wobble' base-pairing, i.e. permitting non-standard base-pairing at the 3rd anti-codon position.
Source: RNAcentral